This 641-nucleotide ribosomal RNA is filed under the name Paenibacillus sp. I15B-00821. RNAcentral describes it as "bacterial SSU rRNA". It matches the Rfam family "Bacterial small subunit ribosomal RNA", at positions 85 to 713 of the family's 1533-position model. Lineage: Bacteria; Bacillati; Bacillota; Bacilli; Caryophanales; Paenibacillaceae. The record is from RNAcentral.
CGGAAAGUUAGCGGCGGACGGGUGAGUAACACGUAGGUAACCUGCCUGUAAGACUGGGAUAACAUUCGGAAACGAAUGCUAAUACCGGAUACGCGGUUUGAUCGCAUGGUCGAACCGGGAAAGACGGAGCAAUCUGUCACUUACAGAUGGACCUGCGGCGCAUUAGCUAGUUGGUGAGGUAACGGCUCACCAAGGCGACGAUGCGUAGCCGACCUGAGAGGGUGAUCGGCCACACUGGGACUGAGACACGGCCCAGACUCCUACGGGAGGCAGCAGUAGGGAAUCUUCCGCAAUGGACGAAAGUCUGACGGAGCAACGCCGCGUGAGUGAGGAAGGCCUUCGGGUCGUAAAGCUCUGUUGCCAGGGAAGAACGGAUGGAGGAGUAACUGCCUUCAUCAUGACGGUACCUGAGAAGAAAGCCCCGGCUAACUACGUGCCAGCAGCCGCGGUAAUACGUAGGGGGCAAGCGUUGUCCGGAAUUAUUGGGCGUAAAGCGCGCGCAGGCGGCUUUGUAAGUCGGGUGUUUAAACUUGGGGCUCAACCUCAAGUCGCAUCCGAAACUGCAAGGCUUGAGUACAGAAGAGGAAAGUGGAAUUCCACGUGUAGCGGUGAAAUGCGUAGAGAUGUGGAGGAACACCAGU